CAGUAGCCGCGGGAAUACGUAGGGUGCAAGCGUUAAUCGGAAUUACUGGGCGUAAAGCGUGCGCAGGCGGUGUUGUAAGACUGAUGUGAAAUCCCCGGGCUCAACCUGGGAACUGCAUUUGUGACUGUAUAGCUAGAGUACGGCAGAGGGGGAUGGAAUUCCGCGUGUAGCAGUGAAAUGCGUAGAUAUGCGGAGGAACACCGAUGGCGAAGGCAAUCCCCUGGGCCUGUACUGACGCUCAUGCACGAAAGCGUGGGGAGCAAACAGGAUUAGAUACCCCUGUAGUCCCUGUCUCUUUACA
This 301-nucleotide ribosomal RNA is filed under the name uncultured bacterium. Its description in RNAcentral is "partial 16S ribosomal RNA". It matches the Rfam family "Bacterial small subunit ribosomal RNA", at positions 509 to 808 of the family's 1533-position model. The record is from RNAcentral.